This 505-nucleotide ribosomal RNA is filed under the name uncultured bacterium. RNAcentral describes it as "partial 16S ribosomal RNA". It matches the Rfam family "Bacterial small subunit ribosomal RNA", at positions 28 to 507 of the family's 1533-position model. The record is from RNAcentral.
GACGAACGCUGGCGGCGUGCCUAAUACAUGCAAGUAGAACGCACAGUUUAUACCGUAGCUUGCUACACCAUAGACUGUGAGUUGCGAACGGGUGAGUAACGCGUAGGUAACCUGCCUGGUAGCGGGGGAUAACUAUUGGAAACGAUAGCUAAUACCGCAUAAUAUUGAUUAUUGCAUGAUAAUUGAUUGAAAGUUGCUAUUGCAUCCCUACCAGAUGGCCUUGCGUUGUAUUAGCUAGUAGGUGAGGUAACGGCUCACCUAGGCGACGAUACAUAGCCGACCUGAGAGGGCGAGCGGCCACACUGGGACUGAGACACGGCCCAGACUCCUACGGGAGGCAGCAGGAGGGAAUCUUCGGCAAUGGACGAAAGUCUGACCGAGCAACGCCGCGUGAGUGAAGAAGGUUGUCGGAUCGUAAAGCUCUGUUGUAAGAGAAGAACGGGUGUGAGAGUGGAAAGUUCACACUGUGACGGUAUCUUACCAGAAAGGGACGGCUAACUACGUG